AAUUUCAAAACGAGAUUUCAACGAGACGGAACGAGACUGAAAAGUCAGAAGAAUGUUAACAAGUAUAUAAAAAGUUUGUUUUUCACUAAACAUUUGACCUCGUGGUUCAUCUGUACCAACGUAAUCCACGAAAAUUGGUAUCCCACGAAUAAAGAAAACUCUACAGAAGAUUGAAAGAAUUUGACUUGGCCUUAAAUAAUCUACAUAUGUCUUUCAUUGUAAAGUAACUAUGUAUAUAUGUCAUGUGAUUUCAAUGAAUUGCAGUGCCUUAUUUAUUUAAAUGCCGUUAAUAGUAUUAAAAUCAUUCAGGAACAUUAUCAUAUACCUUUCUAAUCAAUCGUCGUAUUUAGUCCAACAGUCUAUCACCAUUUGUCGACUGCAACGCACCCAAAACUCAGCAUAUAUAGAAGGCUGAUGCAUUUAACUAAAUAUGUCCACUUGAUAUUCAUCAGUGUCACCCGAAUAAAAAUAGGCAAUAGAUUAUUAUUAAGCUGAAGAGCAUUAAAAAUAUACCAGAGAGGAUGUUUCGAAUAUAUUGCUAGCCAUCUGGUGGUAUAAAAAAACCUGACUUUGUGACGAUAAUUAAAUUUCAUAAUAAAUGGAAAUGGACUGCAAUGAAAAUAUCACUAAUGCUCUAUCAAUUUUCACUCGGACGGAAU
RNAcentral lists this long non-coding RNA (659 nucleotides) under Mytilus galloprovincialis (Mediterranean mussel). Lineage: Eukaryota; Metazoa; Mollusca; Bivalvia; Mytilida; Mytilidae. The record is from RNAcentral.